GCUGCGGUAGCUCAGUGGUAGAGCACUCCCUUGGUAAGGGAGUAAGGGAGGGCUCCCGCUCGCUGCU
Molecule: transfer RNA, 67 nt
Filed under: Mesorhizobium sp. B2-5-9
Lineage: Bacteria; Pseudomonadati; Pseudomonadota; Alphaproteobacteria; Hyphomicrobiales; Phyllobacteriaceae
Description: tRNA-Thr
Rfam family: tRNA
About the family: Transfer RNA (tRNA) molecules are approximately 80 nucleotides in length. Their secondary structure includes four short double-helical elements and three loops (D, anti-codon, and T loops). Further hydrogen bonds mediate the characteristic L-shaped molecular structure. tRNAs have two regions of fundamental functional importance: the anti-codon, which is responsible for specific mRNA codon recognition, and the 3' end, to which the tRNAs corresponding amino acid is attached (by aminoacyl-tRNA synthetases). tRNAs cope with the degeneracy of the genetic code in two manners: having more than one tRNA (with a specific anti-codon) for a particular amino acid; and 'wobble' base-pairing, i.e. permitting non-standard base-pairing at the 3rd anti-codon position.
Source: RNAcentral